RNAcentral lists this ribosomal RNA (774 nucleotides) under uncultured fungus. Its description in RNAcentral is "eukaryotic LSU rRNA". It matches the Rfam family "Eukaryotic large subunit ribosomal RNA", at positions 30 to 821 of the family's 3401-position model. The record is from RNAcentral. Lineage: Eukaryota; Fungi.
GAACUUAAGCAUAUCAAUAAGCGGAGGAAAAGAAACCAACAGGGAUUGCCUCAGUAACGGCGAGUGAAGCGGCAACAGCUCAAAUUUGAAAUCUGGCUCUUUCAGGGUCCGAGUUGUAAUUUGUAGAAGAUGCUUUGGGUGUGGCUCCGGUCUAAGUUCCUUGGAACAGGACGUCAUAGAGGGUGAGAAUCCCGUACGUGACUGGGUGCCUUCGCCCGUGUAAAGCUCUUUCGACGAGUCGAGUUGUUUGGGAAUGCAGCUCAAAAUGGGUGGUAAAUUUCAUCUAAAGCUAAAUAUUGGCCAGAGACCGAUAGCGCACAAGUAGAGUGAUCGAAAGAUGAAAAGCACUUUGGAAAGAGAGUUAAACAGUACGUGAAAUUGUUGAAAGGGAAGCGCUUGCAACCAGACUUGCGCGCUGUUGAUCAUCCGAGCUUUUGCCCGGUGCACUCGGCAGCGCUCAGGCCAGCAUCGGUUUUGGUGGGCGGAUAAAGGCCUUGGGAAUGUAGCUCUCUUCGGGGAGUGUUAUAGCCCUCGGUGCAAUGCGCCCUACCGGGACCGAGGACCGCGCUUCGGCUAGGAUGCUGGCGUAAUGGUUGUAAGCGACCCGUCUUGAAACACGGACCAAGGAGUCUAACAUCUAUGCGAGUGUUUGGGUGUCAAACCCAUACGCGUAAUGAAAGUGAACGGAGGUGAGAACCCUUAAGGGUGCAUCAUCGACCGAUCCUGAUGUCUUCGGAUGGAUUUGAGUAAGAGCAUAGCUGUUGGGACCCGAAA